CUGUCCAUUCUCAUCGGUGUAGACUACGGAAGUUGCGUUGCCUGGGAUUAGUGAAGCUGUGGAGGUGCGUUGACAGCGGUGCACAGAGGAGGUGGUGGUGGUGGUGGUGCACAGACGGAUGAAGGCACGGAUAAAGCAGAGAGGAAAAGAGACAGACACAGAGAGCAGGGAGGCAUAGAUAGACAGACAGACAGUGCACAGAGCGAGAGAUAAACCAGAGAAGCACAGACGUAUAGGAUAAAAGAUGAACACAAUAGCGGACACGGAAAGCAGAGAAACACAGACACAUAGAGAGGGCAGGACACACACACAGAUAGAGAGACACACACACAUUAAGACAGAGAAAGAAACAGAUGAAUUGACAGACACAAGUACAGAGAGAGCACAGACAGACAGACAGACCAAGGGACGCACAGAGAGAGAGAAAGUGACAGAACGAAGGAAGGAAGGAAAAUAAAAGGGAAGCAAAAUUAACCAAAAAAACAGAAAUGAGAAGAGAAACAGAAUUAUAAAGAGUGACAAAGGAAGAAAGAAGGGCAACACAAGCGAAGGAGAAAGGAAGAAGGGAAGGAAGUGAAUGAACGAAGGAAGGAAGGAAAACAAAGGAAGCAAAAUUAAUAAAAAAACAGAGAAAUGAGAAGAGAAAGAGAAUUAUGAAGAGCAACAAAGGAAGAAAGAAGACAAGCAACAUGAGUGAAGAAAGGAAGAAGGGAAGGAAGUGAAGGAGGAAGAGGAAGAAAAGGAAGAAAAGUCAACAUACAGUAGCAAAGACAUUGGGAGGAGGAGGAGGAAGAGGAAGAAAAGAAGAAAAGGAAAACAGAAGAAGAAGAACCAACAUGCAUUAGUAAAAGGGAUGAGAAGAAAAAGGAAGAAGAUGAAGAAAGAGAAAAAGAAGAAAGCAGGAAUAGGGAAAUUAGAAGGAAGAAAAGGAAAGGAAGAAAAGAAUAAGGAAUAAGGAGGAGGAGGAGGGCCGGUGCAGUGCGACAGACAGACAGACAGGCAGCGUGCGGAGUCCAGCAAGGCGGUGGUGGUGGUGGUGGUGGUGGUGGUGAUGGCGGAGGUGCAUGUGAGGGAAGAGAAGAGAAAAAAAAAAUGGGAAAAAAAUAAAGAAUCACAUCAAAACACAAGCUCAUAAAAAAACAUAAAAAAACAGGAGGUGCGGACAGUGCGUUCAAGGAGGAAAACAAACGGAAAAAAAACAUACAUUAAGGGUUAGUUGAAGCGUAAAAAAACGUAAAUUAAAACCAGGAAACACAAAAUCGUAAAACAAGAAAUCAGCUCUUUUUUUUUUUCUUGUUGGUUGGUACUUACGUGCAAAGGCGCUGGGUCAUGCAAAUCCAAGGCUUAGACAUGGUAAAAAGUCACCCUCAAGCGCUGACCAAGAGGCUGGGAUUCCCUUUAAAAGCUUAUUUGGGGUGAGGCACAUGCAUUCCAACUCCGAGGCGCAAGUCAAAUGAGCUUCCAUGCACUCAGUACCGAAGUCUCUCAUCCCCUGUCUUGUGGGGACCCAUGCGAGGAAAUCUUGUUAUGGCCUAAUGCUCAGAUUCUCUCCUUUUAUUCCCUCAGGUUGGGCGGAAUGUUUAGACUGACUUGGAGUAUUUAAAACCUUCUAUUACUAACAUAUGACUAAGCUAUUUGGUGAAGGGGAUAAGUGGAUGGUUCAGGGAAAAAAAAGCAGUGAUUUAAGCAUUUGAAUUAUACCUUUUUCUCUCUUCAUUAUGUGGAUUUGAUACUGAUAUAGACUGACAUGGAUGAAGUCUCUUUUUUGGGGUUAUAUUGUAAACCUCUGAUAAAUAUGGUAAGGUAAAAAGUCUAGUAUUAAAAUUAGUUCUCUGGAAACCUAUGUGGAGAAAUUUUGAAGCAUGGAAACUUUGAAUAACACUCAAUGAAAACAAAGAAAAAAAAAUGUGUUCUGGUUAACUACCCAUCACUCUGAAGGCACUUACAGACAGCACUAAGCCCUGGAGUGACUAGGAGUAACAGAAAUAGUGACAAUACUAAACAAGAUGGUAAUUAUUAUAAAGUAGUAGUAAUAGUAGUAGUUUGCAUCACUUCAAUAAAUUCCUGAACAACAGACAUGGAGAAAACACAGCUAGACACAUUGAUAGCGAGCUGGCGUGGCGGUAAUCAGUUCCUGGGAUCCAUGGAAGGCUUAAUUGCCGCGUUACCUUGAGAGAGCGUGUGGGGGUCGCUACGUUAGUCUCCCGCAGGUGGGCAGAGGUCAGCAAGUCUCGGGUCAGCUGCCGCCCCAGUCCAGACUCAUGACAUGCUCUCUUUCUCUCUCUCUCUCUCUGUCAGCCAGUUGCGAGCUCCUUCCUCAGAGGUUAGACAAAGUGGCGUGCGUGUGGCGUCUCCCGUAACUCACCAGACCCCUAAACCUUCUGGAACCUAUUGCCAAUAUACUCACUCACUCAGAUCUCAACGCUGAAUGUAUUUCCUGACCUAACGCUGGUGUACUCACUCUGCAGACCCCUAAACCUUUUGGGACCUAUUGCUGAUAUACUCACUCACUCAGAUUUCAACGCUGCCUGUUUUUCCUGACCUAACGCUGGUGUGCUCACUAUGUAGACCCCUAACCCACUCCUCAAGUCGCAUGUCCUCUGAAACCUACUGUCGAAACACUCACUCACUCACCAGCUUACUAACUCGUGCCUCAAUGCUGCCUCCUAUGGCCUGAAACUCAUGUCUCUCCUGUGAUCUAAUGCUGCUUCAAGACCCUAGUGAUGGGCGUCUAAACUAGAGUAUGCACGCUGCCUGAAGGCCUUAUUUCUGGGGUGCUAACUAAAACUGGGGUGUGCGCGUGGCAAUGAGGUUGUGAUAUGAAUUUUAGAGGUGCAGUGUGUCUAGUUAGUUUACUUCAGACACUCAAGAUGGCUAUGGGAAAGUGACCAAGGAGUUUACAGUUUAAAUCACUGAGCUUGUAAUCGUAAGUCUUUUAACCCGGCAGCAGCGAGGAUCAUGUUUCUUAAUGGUCCCUCUAAGCGAGAAAAAUGAGAAAAAAUCAUCUCUUACACAAACCAUUUCAUAAUAUAUAUCGAAGCAUUUGUGAUCAGUUUAUGCAUCAUCUAUUUUGGGGGGGUUAUAUCAUGGCACAAAUUUGGCCCGUCGCUGCUACCGGGUUAAAACCAUAGAUGACAGACUGGAAAAAUGAAUACCCCAUCUUUAUGUAUCUUAUACUUUGAUUGAUAUUCAGGGUAAGGAAAAUGUGACCAGCCCUGGAAAUUCCUGUCAAAAGAUAAGAGUUUGAGAAUUCCUUCCCUAAGGCACUUUUUAAGGUCACCCGAUUUCUGAACCUUCUUUGGGCCUGGGUGACUCCUGCAACCUACCCUGACCUACUCUACCCUUCCUUAACCUUUUUCCUAUCUUGCUAACUGCCAUCCUAUCAAGGCACUCUAUCUCUCCUCCUCCUCCUCCUCCUCUGUAACCCUACCAAGGCACUUCUUUCCCUCCUCCUCCUAUCCUGUUACGUGCACCUGGUCCUGGCACUGGAGGCAACACAGACAGACAGACAAACAGAUGUAAUAUCCUAUCACACUCAUCCUGUCUUUUCUUUUAAGUGUAUAUCCUUACUUUGGUUUGUUCAGCUCUAUAUAAUUAUUAUUUUUUUUUUUCCAUCUUUCCUUCAUUUAUUCCUUCCUUCCCGUGUCCCAUUUUUGGAGGCACACGAAGGGGAAGAAAUAAUAUAAAGUGUGCGUGUGUGUGUGUGUGUGUGUGAGUGUGUGUGUGUGUGUGUUAUGGGGUGGGUCGUUUUCAUUCAUUUUUUCAGGUUGAUGGGUCAGUCAGUGAGAUGGAUGAUCGGUGCCUUGGAAAACAGCACCUCAUCAUCAUCAUCAUCAUCAUCAUUAUCAUUGUUAUUAUUAUUGCCAUGUAUGUCUUUCUUUCUCUCUCAUCUACACACACAAAAAUCCUUCAAAAACAAAACUCAUCAUCCUCAUCAUUAUCAUAGUCAUCAUCCUCAUCAUCAUCAUCAUCAUCAACAGAAAAAUGAAGCACCACCAGAAAAAAAUAAAAUGAAUAGCGUUCUUGCAUGUUAUCAAAAAAUGCACUCCCCUAAGUUUUUUGUUAUGUCUUUUUGUUUUGUUUUUGUGUGUGUUUCAUUUUCUUUCAAGUCUGGCACCACACACAAAUAUAAAGUUCUUUUUAAGUCGUAAUGUUGCAUCUUCAGCCACGUCAAUAAUAACAUCAAUACCGGGAAUGAUACUGAUACUAAUACUAAUAAAUAAAGACCAAUCAAUUCCCUGUCUUAACUCGGAACACCAAAAUUUCCGUCCACAGAAAAAGAAACAAUGUCGAUAUAUGUUUCUUCUCUCUGUGCCCAGCGGUAAGAGAGGAAAACUCACAUGAUAAAAAGAUAAUCAGUUGGUUAGGUUGACUCUACCACCAAUGAAGACUAAACAAAGAUAUAAAAGAAGAGAAAAAGACGAAACUGAGAAUGCAGAGGAUAAGAAGAACUGCCAACCAUUAAAUUCAGCCACGGAUAGAACAGCGACCAAUAUCCUUGCCAUGAAAACCGUUAACAGAUCAAUACCGAACCCACGAAAUUGAAAAACAAUACCUCAAUAAAUCAAAUCACAAUCUCUCCCCCCUCUCUCUCUCUCCCUCCUUCCCUUCCUCUCUUGCCCCUUCCUUCCCUUCUCUCCCCCUCUUUCUCUCUAUCCUGGAACGAACUCAAAUCUGGGGGCAGUCGACACACACUUGUUUCAAUUGGUAAAGCUAAUUUUAUGGACCAUCGGGGCAGAAAAUAACAGAUGAACGAUCACCAAGAAAGUCCCGAGAAUAUUAGAACAUGGCUCAAUUUUCUGGGUGAGGUGCGGCCAGAAUGAAGACUCGGGGCCCAGCGGAGGAUUGGGGGAGGCAGGGGAAUGUGCGUGGACGUGGAGACUCGGGUUAGGGCCAAGACUGAGGAUUACAUUCUCAAAACAGAUCGGCGCCCAAACUCACACAUCUGACAAGGCUUUCAUAGGAGUUUCGGGCAUUUCUAGGGGUGGUUUUAUGGCCAUGGUGGUAGUUUGAACCUUAAUCUGCCGUGGUCCUGGUGAUACAGUUAAGUUCGGGCCAAGACUGAGUGAGGGUCAUAUUCUUAAAAACAUUUCAGCGGACAAGCUCACACAUUUGACAAGGCUUUCGUAGGAGUUUCGGGCAUUUCCAGGGGUGGUUUUAUGACCCUAGUGGUAGUUUGAAACUUAAUCUGCCAUGGUCCUGAUGAUUCAGUUAAGUUCGGACCAAGACUGAGUGAGGGUCAUAUUCUUAAAAACAUUUCAGCGGACAAGCUCACACAUUUGACAAGGCUUUCAUAGGAGUUUCAGGCAUUUCCAGGGGUAGCUUUAUGACCCUGGUGGUGGUUUGACCCUUCUUCUGUAUCAUGAACCUAAACAAACACUCACUAGAAAACGACAAAUCCUUCUAAAAUGUGGAAGACGAAGGUAUCCAGAAACUAGACACAAGAAAUACAUGACUAGAAAAAGACGGAACCUUCCCGAGUUAAAAAAAAAUAUGUAUCCUUCUUCUUGAAUGUGGAAGAAAAAGUGUCCCAAAACUAGACAAAAAAAUGAGGACCAGGCAAUGUAUUAGAACUUAUUAGAGGAUUAGAACUUAUUAUCAGAACUUAUUGAACAGUAUGUUAUUGGACUGACAUAAUAUUACUACACAUAUUUCCAACUUUUAUUUUUUUAAGUUAAGUUAGUGUCCCAAAAAAAAUCCUGGCGUCUGAAAAUUCACUGACUAAAAACACUAAUAAAAAAGGGAAAAAAAAAAUGAAAAAUUAAAAAAAAAAAAAAAUCAAUUAUUCACUAUGCAUUUUUUUUUUUUUCCGAGGUGUUCCAAGUUAAGCGGAAAAAAAUCUAUCAUCGUUUACUCUUCCCAUUAUUAUUUUCUUAUGGCUGAGGCUGCACCACAUAUGAGUACCUUCCGUGUGUGUGUGUGUGUGUGCGUAUAUGUGUGUGUGUGGGGGUGGAUGGGUGUAUGUAUGUGCGUGUGUAUAUAUGUGUAUUUCAUUGCUUCACUCCUUCAUCCCGAGCAAAAUAAGUCACAUCAUAAAAUAUUUCCCAUCCUUUUCCUUUUCUUUUUUUUUUAUAUAUAUUUCCUUCGGUCCCGGUGGCAUGAUCCGUCCUAACCAGUGUCUCGAUUCAUCUAUACUCUUCUACUUUUCCUUUUGUUUCUUUCCUCUAUGGGUUCCAAGUCUAAUCACCUAUUCACCUAUCCUUUUUUUUUUUUCUAUUAUACCUCUGAGCGAGUACUGCUUUGGGCAACUUUCCAUUUCUUAUUAGGGUCUGUCCGCCCGGCUGUCCGUUCGUCAGUCCGUUUUUGCUCUCCUUUCGUUUGUACUUCCGUUCCGGUGACGCGCGAGAGAAAUGGUUGGUUACGGCGCUUAUGGUGUGGGAAAAAAUCAUUCUCGUUGUUGUUCUUUGUUUUUUCUUUAUUGUUUUUUGUCUACUUUUGCAGCCAUGAGGAAAAAUUUAAAUAUUGAAAAAAGAGAAAAAUGAAAAUAUGGAAUCUGUCUGGUGUACUUUCUUAUUUUUCUUUCUUCUUGUUUCAUAGUUUUUUUUAUUUUUUUCUUCGUCUUCUCUUUAUCUGUCUUCUCUUCUCUUCUUUUGAUUCAUCGUACGUUUACUUUCACCCACAAAAGAUGAAGAAAAAAUGAAGAGAAUUAGAAAAUGCUAUCAAAUACUUCCUUUUUCCAACACAUAAUGACAGGUUGAGAAUUACCAAAAAAUAGCUUGUAAGGAAAAUAUACCUGCGUUAAACUGAAGAGAAUCAGGAAAUGCAAUCAAAUAGUACUUCCCUUUUCCAACACAAUGACAGGUUGAGAAUUACCGAAAAAAUAAAGAAAGAAAUACCUGCGUUACGAUAUUACGAGAAGCAGAUUAGCGGCAAAAAAAAAAAAAUAAUAAUAAUAAUAGAUGGAUAAGUAAACAAAGACCGAGGAUGUUUUUGCCACAGGGGUGAGCGUCGCUUUCUCUCGGGCGUCAACGGAAUGGAUUACAGCACUCACAUCGAGGAGAAAAAAAAAAACAAGAACAAAAACUAAUGGAACGCCGAGCUAAUUAAAAAAGAAAAGGCAAAUUACCGAAAAAAGAAGGUAAAUAGUCUUCCAUAUUUAACUGUGAUGGCGUCAAAAUCUUGCAUCUUAGCUCGACUUCCCUGUUAUUUUUGCUAUCGUUCGUUUUCUUCGCCGCGAUAUGAGAGCGCAUCGAAGGGGCGAGAACAGACGAGGGCGCACAGACAGACCCUAAUGACAGCAACAAGAGGGAGGACGUCAAGAGAACCGUGGAUAGUGUUAACAUGGGCAAGAGUUUAGCUUAUUUUCACCUUUCUCAAGUUUCCGAGUAUCUCCAAAGAAUGAGGGAUUGAGGCUUCGUAAGUACUGGAUGCAAGAGUGUGAGGGGAAAAAAAAAAAAUUAGGUCAAGCAUGAUUAAUGGAGAGAAAUUAAACAUAAGUCGGCCAAACAUAUCUACAGGAAAAAGGAAAAAAAAUAAUAAGUCAGACAGAACAAAUAAAAAAAAAACAGCAAGAAGAAGAGGAGGAAGUACAAGAAGAAGUCCUUUUUUGGGGAACGUCUUAACUUUGGGUUUGAAUUUUUUUACAGCGAGAAUUUUUUUGGCCAGGGGAAGAUUUUUUUUAAGGUCUACCAGGAAAAAGCCUUCACUAGAGUCAACAACCACUCACAAAACCACAAAGCCAGACCAAGAUUCUCAGCGUCAACUCAGACUCAAGCGGUGGAGGGGAAUGAUACAUCUCUCAUGGGGGCGGAAAGGAGUGAAGUGGAUGAUUUCAAUUGUUUAGUUAAGGUUACGUGAGUGGUGAGGAGGCGGAGGAGGAGGAAGGUGGCGGUGGUGAUGGUGGUGGUGAUGGUGGUGGUGAUGGUGGUAUAGGCUGGCAAACGCGGUGAAAGAAGGGAUUGAUUAGGCUCGCACACGACACAAUUAUUGCCACUAGCGCUGAAACCUUCUACUGUACACUCGGUCCCUGUGUGCGUUGGUUAGAAAAGGACAGUGUGAAAGCCAUCAUCAAGAGCCCAUUCACUCCUCAUGUCCACCCAGAAGCUUGCAAAUUUAUCCUUCCAGACUCUUGCUAAUGUUCUUAUCUCUCUCUACAUGUGUUUGCUGGUUCAAGAGGAAGGUGUGAAAGCCAUGAUCAAGAGCCCAUUCACUCCUCAAGUCCACCCGAGAAGCUUGCAAGUGAAUCUGUGUUUGUGUCUCUUUCCGUGUGUUUGCUGUUUAAAGAAAGGAGACGAGUGUGAGAGCCUUGACUGACGCCCCACUCGCUCCUUCUGUCCACCCGAGAAGCUUGCUAGGUCACACACGUCCUUAGGCUAUGUGUUAAUGCAGGUUUAGAAGAGUUGUGUGUAUGCGUAGAAAGAUGUGACAAGGGUAAGAGCUGUAGUGAGGAAGCUGCUUACAUCCUAUCCACCCAGAAGCUAAAUCUCGUGUUAGACCGUUUAUAUACACAACAAUAACCACCAUGACCACAAGCCAGCAAAAGGAACACUGUGCUCGCCUUAUAAACAGCCAGAGAUUGAUUUAUGAAAGUCUGUGCACCCCGGGACAUAAGAGGCUUUAAGAGAGGGAGCGCAAGUCCUUCGCAAUCACCCUGGAAGCUCAGCGGAAGUGUUACUGUGACAGACGUUCGUUAAGGUGUGUGUGGAAGGGAAGGAAGCAUUACGGAGAACAAAUUUGAGGAGGAUGUGAGUGUUACGUUACCAGAGAGGAGGAAAGACAGACGCAACACAGAGAUAAGCUUUCCUAGUCCCUCCCUGUGGUUCUGUUUUCCUAUUCUGCGUCUUGAAAGCUUCCCUAUUUCCCUCCUGUAGGUUUGUUUUGUCUUUCUGCGCCUUAGUCUUGAGAUGAAUGGUGAGUUAGAUAGUGUGUGGCAUGGGAGAGGAGGACCUACUAGACAGACGCAACACAGAGAUAAGCUUUCCUAGUCCCUCCCUGUGGUUCUGUUUUCCUAUUCUGCAUCUUGAAAGCUUCCCUAUUCCCUCCUGUAGGUUUGUGUUGCUUCUCUGCCCCUUAGUCUUGAGAUGAAUGGUGAGUUAGUGUGUGGCAUGGGUGAUGAGGAGCUACUCGCCUUCCCUAUUCCCUAUUCCAAUUCUUCUGAGGCAACGCUUAGGCAGGGGAGGCUUGGUAGGGGGUCAGGUAGUUAUUCGGAAGGGGGUGUGAUCCUCUCUCUACCCUGCCAGCCGGUAACGCCACCCUAUGAGAGGUUAGGUUAAGGAACUGGCAGGGUUUGUUUAGUCACCCUACCCGACCCUGUCACCCUACAACAAGCUAGGUUAAGGGGAUUGCCAGGGGUUAAUCUAAUAUACUCUAUCACCCUACCAACUACUUGCUCCUCACUAAAACAGAUUCACAUUAUCUUCUUCCUUUCUCUUGUCUCUCUUCUUCCUAUCUUGCUUUAUUCUUCUCUUCUAGUUUCUCAUAUAUUUUUUUAUAUACAUUCUAUUCUCUACCCUACAAAUGGUUAAGAAGGCUGGAAGGGGGUUAAUCUAGUACCCUGUCACCCUGCCAGCCAGCAUCUUCACCCUACAGGAGGUUAGAUUAUAGACUGACAGGGUUGAUCUAGUGUCCUAUCACCCUGCCAGCUAACAAUUCCACCCUGCAAACUUGAGGGGUCUGUAAGGGGUCAUAUUUAGUCACCCUGUUACCCUGCCAGCCAGCAUCUUCACCCUACAGGAAGUUAGAUUAUAGACUGACAGGGUUGAUCUAGUGUCCUAUCACCCUGGCACCUGACAAUCCCACCCUACAAAUAUUUAAGUUAAGAGGAUUGCCAAGGUGUUCAUCUACCACCCUACCACCUUUCCUACCAUUCACAAAUAAGUCACGGAUUGGGACUGGAAGCGCUUUUAACUAGCACCCUGUCACCCCUGCCGUAAACAUGUCCCUUCCUAAGCCUCCUCUGCCUCAUGUGGCCUCACAACCUAACCAACUACCUCCGUCACAGCCAGGAACAAACAGUCUGGGGGGACAAUGGGGCUGGGGGACAGCUUGGGUACCCUGAGAAUGGCCUUCCGUGGACCAUGAGUGAGGGGACGAAGGGGGACUGAGGGCCUUCAAUGAGUGUUCAAAUGAUGAGGGUUUGUUUUGGUUUAGUAGCGAAAUUGCGGGGGACUUCUGCAUUCACUUCUGUUCAUGUUUUGAGUGGGUACUUUGCGUCUGCCAUUCCCUGCCUUUGGACUAUGAGUGAGGGGGACUAACGGCUUUCUAUGAGUGUUAGAGUGGCGAUAGUUUUAGCUUAUUAAUAGUCGUAGGAGGAACCACAAGCAUAAGGGAUUUUUUCGUUCCUUACUGAUGUUUUCCUGAGUGGGUACCCUGAGCCCUGUCACCUAUGCGGGCUAAAUGAUGAGGUUCGGUAUUAGUUUAGUGACAGUAUAAAGGAAUAACAGCUUUAAGGGGAGGUUCUAUGUUCUUUACUGGUCUUUUGAGUGGGUAGUCUUGCUGUGAACCAUGACUAAGAGGAUCAAACAGCCUUCUACGAAUAUUAAAAUGACAUCAGUUAGUUUUAGUUUAGUGGCGAGAUAAGGGAAUCACAGCUUUAAGGGGAAGUUUUGCAAUCAUUAAGGUCUUUCGAGUAGGUAGUCUUGCUGUGAACCAUGACUAAGGGAAUCAAACAGCCUUCUACGAAUAUUAAAAUGACAUCAGUUAGUUUUAGUUUAGUGGCGACAUGAGGGAAUCACAGCUUUAAGGGGGAGUUUUGCGAUCAUUAAGGUUUUUCGAGUAUGUAGUCUUGCCUUGAACCAUGACUAAGGGAAUCUAACACUCUUCUAUGAGGGUUAAGUGAUGGGGAUAUGUUUUAAUUUAGUAGCAACAUAAGGGAAUCACAGCUUUAAGGGGAAGUUUUGCGAUCAUUAAGGUCUUUCGAGUGGGUAGUCUUGCCUUGAACCAUGACUAAGGGAAUCUAACACUCUUCUAUGAGGGUUAAGUGAUGGGGAUAUGUUUUAAUUUAGUAGCAGCAUAAGGGAAUCACGGCUUUAAGGGGAAGUUACACGGUCAUUAAGGUCUUUCGAGUGGGUAGUCUUGCCUUGAACCAUGACUAAGGGAAUCUAACACUCUUCUAUGAGGGUUAAGUGAUGGGGAUCAGCUUAAGUUUAGUAGCAGCAUAAGGGAAUCACAGUCUUAAGAGGGACUUCAACAUCCAUUAAUAAUCUGAAUCUCUGGCUGGGGGUGGUCAGCGAUCGAGGGGGGAGGGGGGGGAGCACAGUAAGCGUAAUAUCCGCCACCUUUAGGCACAGUUAAGGCUUAGGGGGGAGGGGGCUGCAAAUUGGGGGGGAAGCAGCAACACCACUCGCGACAACACAGACCGAGGGGGACAUGACACGACGCAACACACUCAAUGGGGGAGUGGGGGGGUUAGACUGCUCGUUCAUGCUGUGACUGGCCGAUUCCUGCCCUGUGCCCCGCUUAACACCGGGGCACAGAAAAGGGACAUGAGCGACCCCUCAGACACCUUCCUCAUCCCUCUCACACACCCCACACACAUCCCCGCAGCCCCACCUCACCCCACGCUCCAUUUCACAUGUCAGAGCUGGUGGGAUGCGAUGGGGUGUAUGGGUGUGUGUGUGGGGGUGUGAGGGGUGCCUAUGUCCACCCACGCACCCAUGUGUUAAGAUAGGACAGAGUAAAAUGGAUGAACGAAUGUGUGUGUGUGUGUGUGUGUGUGUGUGUGUGUGUGUGUGUACCCUCUGCCCUGCCGUUCCUGCCGUACCCUCAUGUCUCUCUCAUUCCCCCAGGCCAGGGCAUAGAAGAGGGACCUUAACACAACAGGGGGUCAUGGAAAGGCCUUACCCUAUGCCCUGAACCCUUGGAAAAAUGAGAAAACCGCAUGAGAGAGAGGGAGAUGCAGGGAGGGAGAGCGAGUGAAUGGAUGAAGGGGGUGACAAAAUGUGGUACUAACGAAGAAAUGAAGAGAAUGAAGGAAGGAAGAGAGACUAGGCGGGAGGGUGAAUGUAUGAAGGGUGCGACAAAAUGUGGUACUAUCGAAGAAAUGAAGAGAAUGAAGGAAGGAAGACACUAGGCGGGAGGGUAAAUGUAUGGGAGAGAGCGAGAGGGGAGGGUCGUAGGGCAUCCUCGCAUAUAGAGACAAACAGAAAGACGCAGAAUAAGAGGAGGAGGAGGACGAGGAGGAGGGAUAACAAACAACAAAUAACAACAAGAACAACAAAGUGGCGUUGGAGUGAAGCGACAGCGCGGCACGCCAGAAGGAAGGUGACUCAACGCGCAGUGGUGAGUGAGACACAGAAAGGUGAGUUAAUAGUGUUUUUUAUAUAAAGGGCGUCCCAGAGGCUGCGGACCACCACCAGAAGCGUUUGCGGCCCAUCUCUCUUUGCUAGUUGCUUUGUCUUGCCCAGUCACUGCUCAGAGGCAAACAUUGUGUGUGUCUAGACUGAGGUCACGCUAGGUCACGGUCAGCUCACGCCCGCAGCUCACAGGAUGACCCACGACCUGCUAAGGGAGUGUGUCUCGCCCCACCUGACCUAACCCUACACACACACGCACGCACGCAGGCACGCACACGCAUACACGCACGCACGUACACACACAUGCGUACUGCCAAGAUGCACACGGUAUUAGAGGUAUACGAACACACUGUCAUGCAUUUUUUUUUUUUUUUUUUUUUUGGCGCACACACACACACGCGCACACACUCACACGCAUACACGCACACAUUUCCGCGGGGUGGCAAGGCAUGUCAGCGGUACUCUACAUGAAGGCCAGAACACUGAGUAGUAGUAUAUUACAGAACAGGAAUUAGUAGUGGUAGUAGUAAUGGUAGUAGUGGUAGUAGUAGUAAGUCAAUUUUUUUAGAUUACAGAUUAAUUUUGAGAUCUCGAAAAAAAAAAAGGUGAAGCUGUUAAAAUAAUGACAUGUAAAAACAACCAUAAAAAUCAUCAUCAGACCAGACUAGAAUUAGGUUUACACGGUUGAUUAGGAAGCCGUGGUUGGUAGCGGCAAUGGUUGGCUGUAAUGGUUUGGUUGGGGGGUUAAUUAAACUGCGGAGACAGACCACUUGGCACACACACACACACCCGUCACUACAGCCCCACACACUCCCCCAGGGUCAUGACUCACCCUACCCCAGUGUGUGUGUAUGUGUCCACCAGGCAGCCCCACCCCGCCCCGCCCAGCCCCGGCCGCCCGUCACCACAAGCAGACAGACAAAGGCACACUCCCGCCCCUCACACUGUGCCCAGCCUCACCUGCCUUGGCGAGCGAGGUGAGGCAUGGACAGGCAAGGCCCAGGUGCUGCCACUAACUGAACACUGCACACCUGUGAGGCGGGGCUGGCAGGUGUGGGGGCCGGGGGGGCGGGGCGGGGCGGGGCGGGGAGAGGGGCAGGACAGGCAGAGGGUGAGCAGGGAGGGAGAGACAGAGAGAGAGAGGGAGAGUGUGAGUGAGAGGAUCAAGGGAGGGAGGGAGGGAGGGAGGGUGACAGCAUGCCCCGGUAGCCCCCCCCCACACAGGCCUAGCCCACCCCGUGCCCCGGAUCUAGGGUAAGGCUCCAAGGCCGGGGCAUGGGGCGCGGGGCUGUGUGGGGGCGGGCGCCGGGGCGC
This is a long non-coding RNA of Eriocheir sinensis (Chinese mitten crab), 13547 nucleotides long. RefSeq lists it as uncharacterized. The transcript has 3 exons. NCBI's taxonomy places the organism in Eukaryota, Metazoa, Arthropoda, Malacostraca, Decapoda, Varunidae. The record is from RefSeq and is a predicted model, not a curated record.